RNAcentral lists this small RNA (332 nucleotides) under Pongo abelii (Sumatran orangutan). RNAcentral describes it as "retained intron". Lineage: Eukaryota; Metazoa; Chordata; Mammalia; Primates; Hominidae. The record is from RNAcentral.
AAAGAUCUGGAAUUUCUUUUUUUGGACAUUUGUUUUGCAGCUUUCUACGUCUUAAGGCAGAGAAUAGCCAGGAUAAGGUGCCAGCUCAAAGCUGUGUGCCAACCACGAUGCAAACAUGGUGAAUGUAUCGGGCCAAACAAGUGCAAGUGUCAUCCUGGAUAUGCUGGAAAAACCUGUAAUCAAGGUAGGAAAACAGUCUGACAGACAUACACAAUCAAAGACACCUCUCACUCCCAAAUUAAAAAUAUUCUUAUCUCAAACUACUUUCCAUAGCUAUUUUUCCAAAAUAUGUGAGCUGCCAUUUUGCUGAUAAAUAAAAAUAUAUUAAUGAU